This 787-nucleotide ribosomal RNA is filed under the name uncultured bacterium. RNAcentral describes it as "bacterial SSU rRNA". It matches the Rfam family "Bacterial small subunit ribosomal RNA", at positions 103 to 863 of the family's 1533-position model. The record is from RNAcentral.
CGGGUGAGUAACGCGUGGGUAACCUGCCCCUUUCACCGGGAUAACAGCUGGAAACGGCUGCUAAAACCGGAUAAUCUCCGAGAUAGGCAUCUAUUUUGGAGGAAAAGAGGCCUCUAUAUAUAAGCUCCUGGGAAGGGAUGGACCCGCGUCUGAUUAGCUAGUUGGUAGGGUAACGGCCUACCAAGGCGACGAUCAGUAACCGGCCUGAGAGGGUGGUCGGUCACACUGGGACUGAGACACGGCCCAGACUCCUACGGGAGGCAGCAGUGAGGAAUCUUCCGCAAUGGGCGAAAGCCUGACGGAGCAACGCCGCGUGAAUGAAGAAGGCCUUCGGGUCGUAAAGUUCUGUCUUUUGGGACGAAGGCCCAUGGGGUAAAUAAUCCUGUGGGAUGACGGUACCAGAGGAGGAAGCUCCGGCUAACUACGUGCCAGCAGCCGCGGUAAUACGUAGGGAGCGAGCGUUGUCCGGAAUUACUGGGCGUAAAGGGCGCGUAGGCGGGUAAUUAAGUCAGAUGUGAAAGCCCCGGGCUUAACUUGGGGAGUGCAUUUGAGACUGGUUAUCUUGAGGGCAGGAGAGGAAAGUGGAAUUCCUAGUGUAGCGGUGGAAUGCGUAGAUAUUAGGAGGAACACCAGUGGCGAAGGCGACUUUCUGGACUGUACCUGACGCUGAUGCGCGAAAGCGUGGGGAGCGAACGGGAUUAGAUACCCCGGUAGUCCAUGCCGUAAACGAUGAAUACUAGGUGUAGGAGGUAUUCGACCCUUCUGUGCCGCCAGUUACCACCAAUAA